AGCCAACAGAGGAGAAUGACAAGGAGGGGCAAUGAUGAUCCAAGGAGGUGGCAGAUCCUCAGGAAACACAGGGUACUGGAAACUGCUACCAUUGCCCAGACUAGCAGAAUAGAUUUCACCUUCGAAAGCGACCCUGGCCUGGAUCCUGCUGCUUCUGCCACAUCUAUUUCCAGCUUCCUCUUCCUACUGGCCUCCUUCUGAAGUCCCAACAUGAUGUCCUGCCAAGUCACACAGGUGAAGAUAUAGGUUUGGAAAGGGGAUAUAACUUUCCAUGGUCAAAAGCAAAUAAACUGAACAUCUCAGCCAGCCCAUCUGCUUGGAGCCCUCUGCCUUAAAGCCACAUCACUCUCUGAGAUGAAACACCAGCCAGACAGGGUGAAGACAGGAGCGAGCUCCAGGUUUACAAGUGAUAGGAUCCCUGUGGAUUUCUAGUUCAGACUGAAAAUCCAUGAAAUUUAGAAUAAUAUGGGGAUAGUUUACAGACAUGUGAACUUUUACUGUGUAUGUUUUACUUACAAUGCAAUACCUAAUACUUCCACUGCGACAUCAGCAAACAUCCUUAGCCCUGUUUGCCACUGCACCACAGAGCUUUUCAUGCAAACUAACAUUACAGUAUGAUACAAAGAAAACUGUUUCUUCUUAAGAUAUUUACAAUGUGAUCAGGUUUAUUUAAAUAAAGUCCAUUUUAUACUAGCUUUAGAAUUGUCAUUAAUUUUAAAAGGCAGUAAUAUGCCAUCAAAUUCGUUCCUAAUCUUUUACAAGUGUUAUUUUUCCUUGCUAUUUUCAUUUUAUCAUUAUUCUCUCCAAAAGUCUGCAAAUUGAUUUUGGGGAAAAUAGGUAGAUAUACCACACUAAAGUUGCAGACACCUAAACGUCCAUGAAGACUUACUUUUUUUACUCAGGCCAGGCCUAAUGUCAGCUGCACAAAACCAUGAGGCUCAGCCCUGGAAAGAAGAAUGUUUCCACUUUUGCCCUCAGUCCUUCUUCACUAUUCAGCUUCUGCAUGAAUGUCCCUGUGUGCUUUCAUAAUCUCACAUUAUCCUAGUAUUGUGCUUCUAUAUUUUUCUAAUUUCUAAUUUCUAAAUUUUCUUUUCAAUAAAACUUAAGGACUGCUGAGUUUUUAUCCAGGACCAGGAAAAAAUAAAAAUCAGCACUCUGACAAUAAAAGUUGCUUUGAGAUUGCA
RNAcentral lists this long non-coding RNA (1184 nucleotides) under Homo sapiens (human). RNAcentral describes it as "long intergenic non-protein coding RNA 2659". Lineage: Eukaryota; Metazoa; Chordata; Mammalia; Primates; Hominidae. The record is from RNAcentral.